GGGUCAGUAGGUUGGUCGUGCUACCGGUACGUACUGGUCUCACUGAUUCCUCCUUCCUGAAGAACCGUAAUGCCAUUAAUUUGGUGUUGCGGGGGAACAGGACUGUUACUUUGAAAAAAUUAGAGUGUUUAAAGCAAGCUAACGCUUGAAUACAUUAGCAUGGAAUAAUGAAAUAGGACGAUCGAUCCUAUUUUGUUGGUUUCUAGGAUUGACGUA
This 216-nucleotide ribosomal RNA is filed under the name Glomeromycotina sp. Its description in RNAcentral is "partial small subunit ribosomal RNA". The stretch from base 40 to 216 matches the Rfam family "Eukaryotic small subunit ribosomal RNA", at positions 686 to 864 of the family's 1831-position model. Lineage: Eukaryota; Fungi; Glomeromycota. The record is from RNAcentral.